This is a non-coding RNA of Schistosoma haematobium, 45 nucleotides long. The record is from Rfam. Lineage: Eukaryota; Metazoa; Platyhelminthes; Trematoda; Strigeidida; Schistosomatidae.
AUUCAGCUGACGAGUCCCAAAUAGGACGAAACGCGCGUCCUCGAU